Molecule: long non-coding RNA, 137 nt
Organism: Melitaea cinxia (Glanville fritillary)
Lineage: Eukaryota; Metazoa; Arthropoda; Insecta; Lepidoptera; Nymphalidae
Exons: 5
Source: RefSeq, a predicted model, not a curated record
UUGUGUUCCUGUGGUGAGAAUGAAAACCAGAGCUCCUGGGGGAAACUGGGGAUGGGGUCAGCAAGGUGCUUGCGAUGCUUCUGGUGUUGCAGACGUCUAUAAGUUACGGUAACCGGUUACCAUCAGCUAGUUAAUAA